Molecule: transfer-messenger RNA, 395 nt
Filed under: Alphaproteobacteria bacterium
Lineage: Bacteria; Pseudomonadati; Pseudomonadota; Alphaproteobacteria
Rfam family: Alphaproteobacteria transfer-messenger RNA
About the family: Bacterial tmRNA, also known as 10Sa RNA or SsrA, is named for its dual tRNA and mRNA-like properties. Its role is to liberate the mRNA from a stalled ribosome. To accomplish this part of the tmRNA is used as a reading frame that ends in a translation stop signal.
Source: RNAcentral
GAUUUUUUAUAUGUAUCGUGUUAAGCUUAGAUUGUUACAGUUUACUGUAAAUAUGGUGAUAAACAUCUAAUUAAUUAGGUUUAGUGGACUCGGGGGCGGAGCCCGACAUCUCCACCAAUGGGGAUGAAUUAGGUUCGACACGAAUUGAAAAGUUGGGUUUUUACUCGGAUUGGUUUCCCGUAAUAAGACUAAUAAGUAAAUGCAAAUGAUAAUGCAUCAACACCAGUUAAUAACUGGCGUCAAGCAGCGAACAGUUCCAUGUUUGGAGCUUUCCAUGGUUCUAGUCAACCAGUAGCUGCCUACGCCUAAUGCUGGCAAAUGUACACAAAGCGCAAAAUGCAAAAUUUGUGUAUAUUAAGCGGUUUGCAGGAGCCGGGCAACAGAAUUCCUGUACU